CUUGUAUUUAUAAUGGAUUAACAAGAUAAUCGGCAUUUCGUCGAGGUAAGCAAUGAGCGUAGCAUUCCUUUAAAUAUUUUUUUGAUACUACUGUGUUACCUCCCUACUUGUUGGACUCGGAUCUACGUUUUUGCCUUGCCUUCCUUUCCUACAAUAACCCAAAACAUGACACCACACCUUGUAUAUAAAUUGCCUCUUGCCCUGCAAAACACCCUCACAUGAUUUUGGCCUGUUUUAUUAUAGUCUCUCGCUUCUCCUCCAGCUCUCCUACUCAGAGGGGACUCGGUGGUGAAAAGCAAAACUGAGGCUGUUGAUGUAAGGAAGGAUAAGAUGCUGGGUGGACGGACCAUUUGCCUGGAGGGGCUGCUGUGGAGGAUUCUGCAUUGACCAAGACAUGUCCUGAUGUAGACACAUUUCUCCGACGGCAUUACCGGUGGCGCUUCAUUUAAUGAAAUGAACUGUCACAGCUAUAUUAUCUAGAAUUGUUCGCCAUCAUAUUGUGAUAAAUGUUACUCUUGGAACAUCCAUUUCACCCGGGUCAUCCUUGAAGGGAGAAUCCUCCAUUUGUGAUACCUUCUCUUGAUUUCUUCGUGUUUUUGUCACUUAAAAUGUUUUUUUUUUUUUUGUUUUUUUAGAUUUUCCCUGCCCUGGGAACUGAGCUCUUCUGAGACUUUGUUUUGAUUAGGGAUCAUAGAAAUAUACUUGAUUUAACACCUGUAACAGCAACAAUCCACAUAGCACACCAUAACCUCCCUCCUGUGGCUGACCUGUGGCAUGAGUUUGAGUACCAGCUCCUCCAGGAGGCUUUUCUCACAGCUCUGGAAGAUGGUAACCUUAGAGAGGGUUGGUGCUGGUACCAGUUGUCAAUGCGCUGACGCAGCUCUUUGCUGAUGUAGUGACUGCGCAGCUGGCGACUGGUUCAAGAUGAAUUCCGCUUCCUGGGUUGCCGCUGCAGAGGUGCAUCGGGCGGGGAGGUGGUUUGGCCGCAUGCAGUUUGGGUGCUUGCGGGAGGUUGAAAAGAGCUCUCCCCCACACUGGCCACCGGUGGCACAGCGUCUUCUCAAUGGCCGACUGUCCCCAGUGUGACAGCUGUAAAUGACGUUCCAGGCAAUAUGGCUAUCACUUGGAUGUCGAGUGAGACUUCCGCAACUUUGCGCAUGAAUGACACGCUCUCCGCACGUACUUACUUUUUCAUAUAUACAUUGAAGUGAAUAUA
Long non-coding RNA from Syngnathoides biaculeatus (alligator pipefish), 1216 nucleotides. RefSeq lists it as uncharacterized. The record is from RefSeq and is a predicted model, not a curated record. The transcript is spliced from 4 exons. NCBI's taxonomy places the organism in Eukaryota, Metazoa, Chordata, Actinopteri, Syngnathiformes, Syngnathidae.